AUUCUGUAGCAAGGUUAACCGUAUAGGGGAGCCGGAGGGAAACCGAGUCUUAAUUGGGCGUUAAGUUGCAGGGUAUAGACCCGAAACCCGGUGAUCUAGCCAUGGGCAGGUUGAAGGUUGGGUAACACUAACUGGAGGACCGAACCGACUAAUGUUGAAAAAUUAGCGGAUGACCUGUGGCUGGGGGUGAAAGGCCAAUCAAACCGGGAGAUAGCUGGUUCUCCCCGAAAGCUAUUUAGGUAGCGCCUCGUGAAUUCAUCUCCGGGGGUAGAGCACUGUUUCGGCUAGGGGGCCAUCCCGGCUUACCAACCCGAUGCAAACUGCGAAUACCGGAGAAUGUUAUCACGGGAGACACACGGCGGGUGCUAACGUCCGUCGUGAAGAGGGAAACAACCCAGACCGCCAGCUAAGGUCCCAAAGUCAUGGUUAAGUGGGAAACGAUGUGGGAAGGCCCAGACAGCCAGGAUGUUGGCUUAGAAGCAGCCAUCAUUUAAAGAAAGCGUAAUAGCUCACUGGUCGAGUCGGCCUGCGCGGAAGAUGUAACGGGGCUAAACCAUGCACCGAAGCUGCGGCAGCGA
This 578-nucleotide ribosomal RNA is filed under the name Salmonella enterica subsp. enterica serovar Saintpaul. Its description in RNAcentral is "bacterial LSU rRNA". It matches the Rfam family "Bacterial large subunit ribosomal RNA", at positions 632 to 1211 of the family's 2925-position model. Lineage: Bacteria; Pseudomonadati; Pseudomonadota; Gammaproteobacteria; Enterobacterales; Enterobacteriaceae. The record is from RNAcentral.